GACGAACGCUGGCGGCGUGCUCAACACAUGCAAGUCGAGCGGAAAGGCCCUUUCGGGGGUACUCGAGCGGCGAACGGGUGAGUAACACGUGAGUAAUCUGCCCCUGGCUUUGGGAUAGCCACCGGAAACGGUGAUUAAUACCGGAUACGACCACUUCUCGCAUGGGAUGGUGGUGGAAAGUUUUUCGGCCAGGGAGGUGCUCGCGGCCUAUCAGCUUGAUGGUGAGGUAAUGGCUCACCAUGGCUUCGACGGGUAGCCGGCCUGAGAGGGUGACCGGGCACACUGGGACUGAGACACGGCCCAGACUCCUACGGGAGGCAGCAGUGGGGAAUAUUGGACAAUGAGCGGAAGCCUGAUCCAGCAACGCCGCGUGAGGGAUGUCGGCCUUCGGGUUGUAACCCUCUUUCAGCAGGGACGAAGCGCAAGUGACGGUACCUGCAGAAGAAGCACCGGCCAACUACGUGCCAGCCGCCGCAGUAA
This 480-nucleotide ribosomal RNA is filed under the name uncultured bacterium. RNAcentral describes it as "partial 16S ribosomal RNA". It matches the Rfam family "Bacterial small subunit ribosomal RNA", at positions 28 to 523 of the family's 1533-position model. The record is from RNAcentral.